Molecule: ribosomal RNA, 531 nt
Filed under: Betaproteobacteria bacterium
Lineage: Bacteria; Pseudomonadati; Pseudomonadota; Betaproteobacteria
Description: bacterial SSU rRNA
Rfam family: Bacterial small subunit ribosomal RNA
Source: RNAcentral
CUGAGGAGUACGGUCGCAAGAUUAAAACUCAAAGGAAUUGACGGGGACCCGCACAAGCGGUGGAUGAUGUGGAUUAAUUCGAUGCAACGCGAAAAACCUUACCUACCCUUGACAUGUCACUAACGAAGUAGAGAUACAUUAGGUGCCCGUAAGGGAAAGUGAACACAGGUGCUGCAUGGCUGUCGUCAGCUCGUGUCGUGAGAUGUUGGGUUAAGUCCCGCAACGAGCGCAACCCUUGUCUUUAGUUGCUACGAAAGAGCACUCUAAAGAGACUGCCGGUGACAAACCGGAGGAAGGUGGGGAUGACGUCAAGUCCUCAUGGCCCUUAUGGGUAGGGCUUCACACGUCAUACAAUGGUGCGUACAGAGGGUUGCCAACCCGCGAGGGGGAGCUAAUCUCUUAAAACGCAUCGUAGUCCGGAUCGUAGUCUGCAACUCGACUACGUGAAGCUGGAAUCGCUAGUAAUCGCGGAUCAGCAUGUCGCGGUGAAUACGUUCCCGGGUCUUGUACACACCGCCCGUCACACCAUGG